ACUCUAAUGAGACUGCCGGUGACAAACCGGAGGAAGGGUGGGGAGUGACGUCAAGUCCUCAUGGCCCUUAUGGGUAGGGCUUCACACGUCAUACAAUGGUCGGUACAGAGGGUUGCCAAGCCGCGAGGUGGAGCCAAUCCCUUAAAGCCGAUCGUAGUCCGGAUCGUAGUCUGCAACUCGACUACGUGAAGUCGGAAUCGCUAGUAAUCGCAGAUCAGCAUGCUGCGGUGAAUACGUUCCCGGGUCUU
This 248-nucleotide ribosomal RNA is filed under the name uncultured Thauera sp. RNAcentral describes it as "partial 16S ribosomal RNA". It matches the Rfam family "Bacterial small subunit ribosomal RNA", at positions 1137 to 1382 of the family's 1533-position model. Lineage: Bacteria; Pseudomonadati; Pseudomonadota; Betaproteobacteria; Rhodocyclales; Zoogloeaceae. The record is from RNAcentral.